Molecule: ribosomal RNA, 468 nt
Filed under: uncultured bacterium
Lineage: Bacteria
Description: partial 16S ribosomal RNA
Rfam family: Bacterial small subunit ribosomal RNA
Source: RNAcentral
GACGAACGCUGGCGGCGUGCUUAACACAUGCAAGUCGAACGGAAAGGCCCUGCUUUUGUGGGGUGCUCGAGUGGCGAACGGGUGAGUAACACGUGAGUAACCUGCCCUUGACUUUGGGAUAACUUCAGGAAACUGGGGCUAAUACCGGAUAGGAGCUCCUGCUGCAUGGGGGGGGUUGGAAAGUUUCGGCGGUUGGGGCUGGACUCGCGGCUUAUCAGCUUGUUGGUGUGGUAGUGGCUUACCAAGGCUUUGACGGGUAGCCGGCCUGAGAGGGUGAACGGCCACAUUGGGACUGAGAUACGGCCCAGUCUGCUACGGGAGGCAGAAGUGGGGAAUAUUGCACAAUGGGCGGAAGCCUGAUGCAGCAACGCCGCGUGCGGGAUGACGGCCUUCGGGUUGUAAACCGCUUUCGCCUGUGACGAAGCGUGAGUGACGGUAAUGGGUAAAGAAGCACCGGCUAACUACGUG